Podarcis lilfordi (Lilford's wall lizard) is the source of this 3273-nucleotide non-coding RNA. The record is from the annotation of a GenBank genome assembly. Lineage: Eukaryota; Metazoa; Chordata; Lepidosauria; Squamata; Lacertidae.
AAGAAUUUCAUUUUAUAUAGGGUAUACAUUCUAGGAGAAAGCUUAUUUCUUUGUUUUCCAGAUGGAAGAAACAUCACAUGGCACACAAAUUUUCCCAAGCAGAUGGCAUCUGUCUGCUUUCCAUCUGACCCUUACAUAAAAGUUAGCAGUAGUUGCUUGCAGCCAAAUGAUACAAUAAAGCAAAAGAUUUAAUACUGUACCAGUUCCUUUCCUAUCUGAGCUUACAUUGCUGCAAAUUCAGAUGUACCGUGGACUGUCCGCAGUGGCAAUUUGAAAAGAUGCUUGUUAGUCAUGGCUUAGAUCUAGAAAUAUGCUUGCAUCGGGGUCAGUUCACACACUCACCUGGCUGAGAAGGGCAAGGCAGCUGCCCCUACCACCAGAAUAUACAACGAAAGUGGAUAAGCCAUCUUCAUACCAAUGGACUGUGCAUGGGUAUCUGUGCCACUAAUUACACUUCCCUAUGCCAAACACUGCAGAAGGGAAAGCCCAUGUCUCAGUAGUAGAACAUCUGCUUUGCUUGCAGAAGGUCACAGGUCCAAUUCUUGGAGUCUCCGGGUAGACUUGGUGGAGACUCCUGUCUGAAUCCCUGGAGAACUGUUCCAGGCACGUCCAAAGUCCGUUUCGGGGGCCUAAUCCAGGCCUCCGGUCGGUUUAAUCUGGCCCCUGUGGCAGUUUAUUUCCUGAGGUAAAAUCCUUAAAAACCUCAAUAACUUCAAUCCGAAAAAAGGUCAACAACUUUGGUCGGCCCUCACGGCCCUUCACUUCAUCAAAUCUGGCCCUCUUUGGAAAAAGUUUGGACACCACUAACAGUCCUGAGUUAGAUGGACCAAUGGUCUGACUCAGGGUAAGGCAGUUUCCUAUCAUCCUAUUACAAUGUAUGUGCAGUGGGGUAACAUCCCUCCCCCACAUGGAAUGUAUCCUUCUUUGGAUGAGUGUGAAAAUCAGCCUUUAAGGACAGAGCCAGGUCGUAUCUGUGCUUUAGAAACAAAAUUCUGUCCAUUUUUAUAUGCAUAGUCUGAUCGGGUAUUGCAGUCCAAAGCUCUGCUUUCAGUCAAUGGUGCAUAAUCACCCCCUCCAGGCUUUUGAAUUAUCACUCUUUUACUUCAGAAUGCCCUUGCAGGGACUUUCCUCACCCAUCCUUCUCCCUUUCAGUCAUUAACUGAGUCUGAUCAAGAAUAGGAUUUUUAUUCCCAUGGGGCCUAAAAACAACAACACGAUGAGGGCUUUUUAGCUACAGCGCUCUUCAUGGAAUCCAUGUAACCUUUGUGAAAUUUGUAUGUGCGAAUUCCUGACAUUUCCUUUUCAGCUCUCCAUUACCUCAGCCACUUCAUCAUGUGGCACAAGUUAACCAGUCAUCCAUAAAGAGUUUCCAAAGAACUGCUAAAAAGAGAGAAUUUGCAUACACCCCCAAUACAGCAUUUUUUAAAAUGAAAAGGCAGCACUUUGUCAAAUAUUCACCCCCCAAAAAUAGAAACUUGGUUUGAAUAUGCCUCGGAUCAAAGUAUCUGGCUUUUGACAAAUCUGAGGUAAUCUGAGUCUUGAUUGUAAAAGAACCCAAAGCUUUAUUCCGAGCAAUACAAGAGGUGCCUUUGACUGACUGAUACUGAUAGCAAAUGGGAAAACUACUUUAAUAGAUUUACCUCAAGUGAAUGAAGAAAGGGUUUUGCCUUUUAUCAGUGUGGCAGAAGAGAAAUUACACUGAGCAGUUUUGAGAACAAACAGUGGUUGCUAUUUUUGGGCCUUCUAUCAUGGCACUGUCAGCUCACCUAUCAAGUAUAAAAAGAAAACACCUUGAUUUAUCCAACCGCCAUCUGUUUGUUCAACGUGCUCACUUGAUCUAUGCAGUAGAUAUAGCCCUAACAACCAUCCUGGGUGCACUAUAUCAGAGACACUUAGGACAUAAUGAGCUAAAGUGGAUAUAUGGCCAAGCCUGGAAGUAGAGUCAGGACAGGAGGGAAACUUCAUAGACUUUCCAGCUCAGCUUGGUGCUGCAGCUUCCGCAAUGGCAGCCACUGCACAUUUAGGCCACUAUAAAAUAGACACUGAUGAGCUAGGAAAUUUAUUCUGUCAUGUGUGUUCUUGUUACAGCCCUGUAAAACAACCAUCCCUUCCCCAGAGGGAAUACUUCUGGGAAUGGGAACCAGCAAAACAAGUAAGCACAGCAGGAUUCAAGUUUGGGUGAUAGAACGAAAAAACACAACAAAAUGUAUUAAUAACUUGCUAUUGGGUUCCACAAGUUAGGCUCCCUUCAAAGAAGGGUAGGUAGACUGUGAGCAACCUAAUCUCCAAAACAAUAGCAACUGAACUGUCCACAAAUUUCUGGGAAAAUGCAAUUUCCAAAAAUACAGCUUUGAGAGAAGAUUUGGGGCAUGUGUGAAAAGCAGGAUCAACCCCCUUCUGCACUGCUCACUGAUGAUCUGGCAAACCUAGGUUUGUACUGUGCAGAUGUAGGAACUGGUCAUGCUUGCUGGGGAUGAUGGGAGUCGUAGUUCAGCAACAUCUGGAGGGCCAAAGGUUCUCCACGAUUGAUUCUAACCAAAAGAAAGGGGAGGGAGAGAUGUUAAAUCAAAGAUGUGGGACAGGGGAGAAUCAGAGGUCCGCCAAGAAGACAAGGUUGAAGAAGUUGACCUGAAGAGGUUAAUUGUCCAUGUCUACUUCGCAAGACAGCCCUCUGACUAUGAAACUGUACGACCUUUACAGACAUUAUUUUUAAACAUGCCUCAAAUACUUGUUUUUUUUUAAAUUCGAAGAAGCUUAUCAUUUGCAUUGCCCAGGGGCUGUGAACUCACCACUCUGACAUGAGACUGAAAGAUCACACAAGACAACGUUCUUUGAUUCAAAUUAGGCCACAACUUUUUUGAUUACAGAUGUAAGGGACUUUGGCCUAGGCACUGGGUAUAUCCUGAAUCAACCAAUCUGCUUGCUGGAUGUUUUACCAUGGGGUCAAAUCUGAAGCGAGGGGGUCCUAUGACAUAUAUCAGAUAGGUGCAACCUUGCCAGGAUUGUCCAUGUCUAGUGCAUGUCAGCCUCUACAGAGAUGACUUUUAAACAUGCCUCAAAUACUUGUUUUUCUUCUGCUAGCUUUCUAUUGUCAUUUUUGCUGUCUGCGUCUACACUUUAGACUGCUGAUAUUGUUUUUAAUCUCCUACUGUAAUGCUAUUUUUAGGUGCUUUAUGUUUUAGAUUAUAUUUUUGCUGUUUUAUUGUUUGUAAUGUUGUUAUAGAUUGUGUUUCAACUUGUUAGAAGCUGAUUUGAGAGGGACAAACCUGAAAG